Molecule: ribosomal RNA, 254 nt
Filed under: uncultured bacterium
Lineage: Bacteria
Description: partial 16S ribosomal RNA
Rfam family: Bacterial small subunit ribosomal RNA
Source: RNAcentral
UACGUAGGGUGCGAGCGUUAAUCGGAAUUACUGGGCGUAAAGCGUGCGCAGGCGGUUACUUAAGUCAGGUGUGGAAGCCCCGGGCUUAACCUAGGAAUUGCGCUUGAGACUGGGUAGCUUUGAGUGUGGCAGAGGGGGGUGGAAUUCCACGUGUAGCAGUGAAACGCGUAGAGAUGUGGAGGAACACCGAUGGCGAAGGCAGCCUCCUGGGCCAGCACUGACGCUCAUGCUCGAAAGCGUGGGGAGCAAACAGG